UUGUUUAUUUCAAUAGAGUUUUCCUUUCAAUCAAGAAUAUAUGAUGUUAUUCCUUCUAGGGAGCUGAGUUAAAUGCACACAGCUUCUAAACUAGUUGUGACCUCUGCAAUUUUCAAAGGAUUAAUAGAAAAAUAAUAAAAAUAAGAGUAUUAGUAUUGGAGUAGUAACACAAUAAUGAUGUUAAUGAAUAUUGCGAAUAAAUGCAUGUUAUUAUUAUUAUCAUAGUAUCAAGAUGUUAAGAAAAGUUAGUAAUCCCUGAAUGAUGACAUUUAUCUUCAUUAAUAUCAUUAUGAAUUAAUAAACAAUAUUGUAUUUCUUUUUGUUUCCGUUUUUCUUUAUCUCUCUAUUAAAUCCUUUACUUCCUGUUU
This 368-nucleotide non-coding RNA is filed under the name Cryptosporidium parvum. Lineage: Eukaryota; Apicomplexa; Conoidasida; Eucoccidiorida; Cryptosporidiidae. The record is from RNAcentral.